Molecule: long non-coding RNA, 565 nt
Organism: Homo sapiens (human)
Lineage: Eukaryota; Metazoa; Chordata; Mammalia; Primates; Hominidae
Source: Ensembl
CCUUCAGGGGCAUUUAUUUCCCGGUCAGAAAAGAAGCAGGGACAGGCGCCUCUGCCUGAGCCUGGCAGACACAACACGAAGACCGGGGAUGGGGCGGGGGAGGCACAGGAGACGGCUCUCAGCAAUGUGUGCACUUGGUCCCUUGUUUGUUCCUGGCUGGGUCAGGGAAGGCCUGCCGGGGGUGGUGGCACUGAGAGCCUGGGGGAACAGGCGCCAGGCCAGCUGGCCAGGCACUGGUGGGCUGGGGAGCAGCAGCAGCACACCCCACGUGUCCCUGGGUCACUGGGUUCGCCACCGGGGAAGGGACGGGGAGGCCACAUGCUCAUGCAGACACAGGGAGUUAGAGGCUAGUGAGGCCCCACGGUACACUCCACAUGUUAAGGCAUCAUGGUUAGACGGGACCGACAGCGACAAGGGGGCUGGCCAGGGAGCAGCGGGGCUGGAGGACGGCCCGGCCCCCACGAGGCCGUGCAUCCCACACCCCAGCUCCACCCCGGAGCAGCAGACGCACACGUCCAGGGGCAACCACGGGGCCUGGAGAAUGGCUGCUCCGCUCCCUCCUGAA